GAUGAACGCUGGCGGCGUGCCUAAUACAUGCAAGUCGAGCGAACGGACGAGAAGCUUGCUUUUCUGAUGUUAGCGGCGGACGGGUGAGUAACACGUGGAUAACCUACCUAUAAGACUGGGAUAACUUCGGGAAACCGGAGCUAAUACCGGAUAAUAUUUUGAACCGCAUGGUUCAAAAGUGAAAGACGGUCUUGCUGGCACUUAUAGAUGGAUCCGCGCUGCAUUAGCUAGUUGGUAAGGUAACGGCUUACCAAGGCAACGAUGCAUAGCCGACCUGAGAGGGUGAUCGGCCACACUGGAACUGAGACACGGUCCAGACUCCUACGGUAGGCAGCAGUAGGGAAUCUUCCGCAAUGGGCGAGAGCCUGACGGAGCGACGCCGCGUGAGUGAUGAAGGUCUUCGGAUCGUAAAACUCUGUUAUUAGUGGAGAACAUAUGUGUAAGUAACUGUGCACAUCUUGACGGUACCUAAUCAGAAAGCCACGGCUAACUACGUG
This 497-nucleotide ribosomal RNA is filed under the name uncultured bacterium. RNAcentral describes it as "partial 16S ribosomal RNA". It matches the Rfam family "Bacterial small subunit ribosomal RNA", at positions 28 to 507 of the family's 1533-position model. The record is from RNAcentral.